Molecule: ribosomal RNA, 429 nt
Filed under: Gemmatimonadota bacterium
Lineage: Bacteria; Pseudomonadati; Gemmatimonadota
Description: Gemmatimonadetes bacterium partial 16S ribosomal RNA
Rfam family: Bacterial small subunit ribosomal RNA
Source: RNAcentral
UAGGGAAUCUUCGGCAAUGGACGAAAGUCUGACCGAGCAACGCCGCGUGAGUGAAGAAGGUUUUCGGAUCGUAAAACUCUGUUGUUAGAGAAGAACAAGGACGUUAGUAACUGAACGUCCCCUGACGGUAUCUAACCAGAAAGCCACGGCUAACUACGUGCCAGCAGCCGCGGUAAUACGUAGGUGGCAAGCGUUGUCCGGAUUUAUUGGGCGUAAAGCGAGCGCAGGCGGUUUCUUAAGUCUGAUGUGAAAGCCCCCGGCUCAACCGGGGAGGGUCAUUGGAAACUGGGGGACUUGAGUGCAGAAGAGGAGAGUGGAAUUCCAUGUGUAGCGGUGAAAUGCGUAGAUAUAUGGAGGAACACCAGUGGCGAAGGCGGCUCUCUGGUCUGUAACUGGCGCUGAGGCUCGAAAGCGUGGGGAGCAAACAGG